UUAUUGGAGGUAGAGCACUGUUUGGACGAGGGGCCCCUCUCGGGUUACCGAAUUCAGACAAACUCCGAAUGCCAAUUAAUUUAACUUGGGAGUCAGAACAUGGGUGAUAAGGUCCGUGUUCGAAAGGGAAACAGCCCAGACCACCAGCUAAGGUCCCAAAAUAUAUGUUAAGUGGAAAAGGAUGUGGCGUUGCCCAGACAACUAGGAUGUUGGCUUAGAAGCAGCCAUCAUUUAAAGAGUGCGUAAUAGCUCACUAGUCGAGUGACACUGCGCCGAAAAUGUACCGGGGCUAAACAUAUUACCGAAGCUGUGGAUUGUCCUUUGGACAAUGGUAGGAGAGCGUUCUAAGGGCGUUGAAGCAUGAUCGUAAGGACAUGUGGAGCGCUUAGAAGUGAGAAUGCCGGUGUGAGUAGCGAAAGACGGGUGAGAAUCCCGUCCACCGAUUGACUAAGGUUUCCAGAGGAAGGCUCGUCCGCUCUGGGUUAGUCGGGUCCUAAGCUGAGGCCGACAGGCGUAGGCGAUGGAUAACAGGUUGAUAUUCCUGUACCACCUAUAAUCGUUUUAAUCGAUGGGGGGACGCAGUAGGAUAGGCGAAGCGUGCGAUUGGAUUGCACGUCUAAGCAGUAAGGCUGAGUAUUAGGCAAAUCCGGUACUCGUUAAGGCUGAGCUGUGAUGGGGAGAAGACAUUGUGUCUUCGAGUCGUUGAUUUCACACUGCCGAGAAAAGCCUCUAGAUAGAAAAUAGGUGCCCGUACCGCAAACCGACACAGGUAGUCAAGAUGAGAAUUCUAAGGUGAGCGAGCGAACUCUCGUUAAGGAACUCGGCAAAAUGACCCCGUAACUUCGGGAGAAGGGGUGCUCUUUAGGGUUAACGCCCAGAAGAGCCGCAGUGAAUAGGCCCAAGCGACUGUUUAUCAAAAACACAGGUCUCUGCUAAACCGUAAGGUGAUGUAUAGGGGCUGACGCCUGCCCGGUGCUGGAAGGUUAAGAGGAGUGGUUAGCUUCUGCGAAGCUACGAAUCGAAGCCCCAGUAAACGGCGGCCGUAACUAUAACGGUCCUAAGGUAGCGAAAUUCCUUGUCGGGUAAGUUCCGACCCGCACGAAAGGCGUAACGAUUUGGGCACUGUCUCAACGAGAGACUCGGUGAAAUCAUAGUACCUGUGAAGAUGCAGGUUACCCGCGACAGGACGGAAAGACCCCGUGGAGCUUUACUGUAGCCUGAUAUUGAAAUUCGGCACAGCUUGUACAGGAUAGGUAGGAGCCUUUGAAACGUGAGCGCUAGCUUACGUGGAGGCGCUGGUGGG
Molecule: ribosomal RNA, 1303 nt
Filed under: Staphylococcus aureus
Lineage: Bacteria; Bacillati; Bacillota; Bacilli; Caryophanales; Staphylococcaceae
Description: partial 23S ribosomal RNA
Rfam family: Bacterial large subunit ribosomal RNA
Source: RNAcentral